UGAGGAAUAUUGGUCAAUGGGCGAGAGCCUGAACCAGCCAAGUAGCGUGCAGGACGACGGCCCUAUGGGUUGUAAACUGCUUUUGCGCGGGGAUAAAGUGCGCCACGUGUGGCUCAUUGCAGGUACCGCGCGAAUAAGGACCGGCUAAUUCCGUGCCAGCAGCCGCGGUAAUACGGAAGGUCCGGGCGUUAUCCGGAUUCAUUGGGUUUAAAGGGAGCGCAGGCCGCCGGGCAAGCGUGUUGUGAAAUGCAGUCGCUCAACGUCUGCACUGCAGCGCGAACUGCCCAGCUUGAGUGCGCGCAACGUUGGCGGAAUUCGCCGUGUAGCGGUGAAAUGCUUAGAUAUGGCGAAGAACUCCGAUUGCGAAGGCAGCUGACGGGUGCGUAACUGACGCUCAUGCUCGAAAGUGCGGGUAUCGAACAGGAUUAGAUACCCUGGUAGU
RNAcentral lists this ribosomal RNA (442 nucleotides) under uncultured Prevotella sp. RNAcentral's name for it is "bacterial SSU rRNA". It matches the Rfam family "Bacterial small subunit ribosomal RNA", at positions 355 to 794 of the family's 1533-position model. The record is from RNAcentral. Lineage: Bacteria; Pseudomonadati; Bacteroidota; Bacteroidia; Bacteroidales; Prevotellaceae.